This 428-nucleotide long non-coding RNA is filed under the name Homo sapiens (human). RNAcentral's name for it is "HSALNT0296784". The record is from RNAcentral. Lineage: Eukaryota; Metazoa; Chordata; Mammalia; Primates; Hominidae.
GUUGAGGGAAGCUUUGCCUAGGCUGGGAUGGCACUUGGGUAUAGCCCCAGGUUUGAGUGCUGCUGUAUUCAUGGACAGUGCCCCAGAGGAAGAAGCACCGUGGGGACUCUCACUGCAAAGAAGACAGACCAUUAUCAACACUCCUCCCCUCUGUUCCCCAAAGUCCCCUCCUGACCGCAGCAUCAAUCUUCCACGCUGGCCGGCCGGAGGUGGUGCCUCUGGCAGAUUUAAAUGAGAGCAUGAAGGUGGGACCUCCAUUACUGGAUUAGUGUCCUUAUAAGAAGAGGAAGAGACCAGAGCUCACUCUCCCCACCACGUGAGGAUACAGUGAGAAGGUGGCUGUCUGCAAGCCAAGAGCCCUCACCCAAACAGAAUCUGCUGGUAUCUUGAUGUUGGAUUUUCUAGCCUCCAGGACUGUGAGAAAUAAA